GUUUUUGGGGGAGGGCGCAGGGGAGAUUGGGGCAAAGGGGGAAAGAGUGAGAAGGCAUUGCGGCGUAAAAGCGAAAGUCCCGUGGGAUAAAAAAUUUUUUUAUGAGGAGAAAAAUGACGUUCCAAGAGAGNNNAU
This 135-nucleotide ribosomal RNA is filed under the name bacterium. RNAcentral's name for it is "partial 16S ribosomal RNA". The record is from RNAcentral.